This 527-nucleotide ribosomal RNA is filed under the name uncultured bacterium. Its description in RNAcentral is "bacterial SSU rRNA". It matches the Rfam family "Bacterial small subunit ribosomal RNA", at positions 777 to 1304 of the family's 1533-position model. The record is from RNAcentral.
AAUAGAUACCCCGGUAGUCCUAGCCCUAAACGAUGAAUGCUUGGUGUGGCGGGUAUCGAUCCCUGCCGUGCCGAAGGUAACCCAUUAAGCACUCCGCCUGGGGAGUACGGCCGCAAGGCUGAAACUCAAAGGAAUUGACGGGGGCCCGCACAAGCGGUGGAGCAUGUGGUUUAAUUCGAAGCAACGCGAAGAACUUUACCAGGGCUUGACAUCCCGCUGACCGCUCCAGAGAUGGAGCUUCCCUUCGGGGCAGCGGUGACAGGUGGUGCAUGGUUGUCGUCAGCUCGUGUCGUGAGAUGUUGGGUUCAGUCCCGCAACGAGCGCAACCCUUAUCGCUAGUUGCCAGCAUUCAGUUGGGCACUCUAGCGAGACAGCCGGUGAAAGCCGGAGGAAGGUGGGGAUGACGUCAAAUCAUCAUGCCCCUUAUGUCCUGGGCUACACACGUGCUACAAUGGCCGGUACAAUGGGUCGCCAACCCGGCGAGGGGGAGCUAAUCCCACAAAACCGGUCUCAGUUCGGAUCGCAGG